RNAcentral lists this ribosomal RNA (615 nucleotides) under uncultured Actinomycetes bacterium. RNAcentral's name for it is "bacterial SSU rRNA". It matches the Rfam family "Bacterial small subunit ribosomal RNA", at positions 845 to 1461 of the family's 1533-position model. The record is from RNAcentral. Lineage: Bacteria; Bacillati; Actinomycetota; Actinomycetes.
GUCGCAGCUAACGCAUUAAGCGCCCCGCCUGGGGAGUACGGUCGCAAGACUAAAACUCAAAGGAAUUGACGGGGGCCCGCACAAGCAGCGGAGCAUGCGGCUUAAUUCGAUGCAACGCGAAGAACCUUACCUAGACUUGACAUAUACGGAAAACAUGCAGAGAUGUAUGGUCCUAACGGGCCGUUUACAGGUGGUGCAUGGUUGUCGUCAGCUCGUGUCGUGAGAUGUUGGGUUAAGUCCCGCAACGAGCGCAACCCUCGUUCUAUGUUGCCAGCACGUAAAGGUGGGGACUCAUAGGAGACUGCCGGGGUCAACUCGGAGGAAGGUGGGGAUGACGUCAAAUCAUCAUGCCCCUUAUGUCUAGGGCUGCACGCAUGCUACAAUGGCUGGUACAGAGGGCUGCGAUACCGCAAGGUGGAGCGAAUCCCAAAAAGCCAGUCUCAGUUCGGAUUGGGGUCUGCAACUCGACCCCAUGAAGUUGGAGUUGCUAGUAAUCGCAGAUCAGCAACGCUGCGGUGAAUACGUUCCCGGGCAUUGUACACACCGCCCGUCACGUCACGAAAGUCGGUAACACCCGAAGCCGGUGGCCUAACCGUAAGGAAGGAGCCGUCGAAG